GUUUUUCGCUCUAAGAUUCUUCCGCGUAAGAUUAGCUAGUUGGUGAGGUAACGGCUCACCAAGGCGACGAUCUUUAACUGGUCUGAGAGGAUGAUCAGUCACACUGGAACUGAGACACGGUCCAGACUCCUACGGGAGGCAGCAGUAGGGAAUAUUGCACAAUGGAGGAAACUCUGAUGCAGCGACGCCGCGUGAGUGAUGAAGGCCUUCGGGUCGUAAAGCUCUGUCGCAGGGGAAUAACACAAUG
RNAcentral lists this ribosomal RNA (247 nucleotides) under uncultured Bdellovibrio sp. RNAcentral's name for it is "partial 16S ribosomal RNA". It matches the Rfam family "Bacterial small subunit ribosomal RNA", at positions 210 to 456 of the family's 1533-position model. The record is from RNAcentral. Lineage: Bacteria; Pseudomonadati; Bdellovibrionota; Bdellovibrionia; Bdellovibrionales; Pseudobdellovibrionaceae.